Molecule: non-coding RNA, 146 nt
Organism: Poecilia reticulata (guppy)
Lineage: Eukaryota; Metazoa; Chordata; Actinopteri; Cyprinodontiformes; Poeciliidae
Source: RefSeq, a predicted model, not a curated record
GAUCCUGAUCUGUAUUUGUGUUCUCCAAUUCAGAAGAAUAUCUCAGAACAGGAAUAUGAAUCCUUCAGAGAACCCCACAGACAAUCAAAAUUUGGACGACUCACUAGUGUUGAACAAAGACGUCAGACUACGAACAGCGAGUCCCA